This 787-nucleotide ribosomal RNA is filed under the name Dipoena hortoni. RNAcentral describes it as "bacterial SSU rRNA". It matches the Rfam family "Eukaryotic small subunit ribosomal RNA", at positions 964 to 1770 of the family's 1831-position model. The record is from RNAcentral. Lineage: Eukaryota; Metazoa; Arthropoda; Arachnida; Araneae; Theridiidae.
UGUUUCCCAUUAAUCAAGAACGAAAGUUAGAUGAUCGAAGGCGAUCAGAUACCGCCCUAGUUCUAACCAUAAACGAUGCCAGCCAGCGAUCCGGCUGUGUUCCUCAAAUGACACGCCGGGCAGCUUCCGGGAAACCAAAGCUUUUGGGUUCCGGGGGAAGUAUGGUUGCAAAGCUGAAACUUAAAGGAAUUGACGGAGGGGCACACCAGGAAUGGAGCCUGCGGCUUAAUUUGACUCAACACGGGGAAACUUACCAGGCCCGGACACAGGAAGGAUUGACAGAUUGAGAGCUCUUUCUUGAUUCUGUGGCAAGUGGUGCAUGGCCGUUCUUAGUUGGUGGAGUGAUUUGUCUGGUUUAUUCCGAUAACGAUCGAGACUCUAGCCUACUAAAUAGACGUUCCGAUCACUCCAGUCGGACGUUCUUCUUAGAGGGACACGCGGCGUCUAGCCGCACGAAACAGAGCAAUAACAGGUCUGUAAUGCCCUCAGAUGUCCUGGGCUGCACGCGCGCUACAAUGAAGGAAUCAGCGUGUGCUUUCCCGGCCCGACAGGGUUGGGUAACCCCUUGAACCUCCUUCUUGCUUGGGAUAGGAAAAUGUAACUUUUCCUUGAACGAGGAAUUCCUAGUAAGCACGAGUCAUUAGCUCGUGUUGAUUACGUCCCUGCCCCUUGUGCACACCGCCCGUCGCUACCUUCGAUUGAAUAAUUUAGUGAGGUCUUCGGACUGGCUGUCGGACUGGCUCUUCUGGGCCGGGCCGGCGUGCCGGAAAGAUGUCCGAACUUGAUC